GUCUCAAAGAUUGAGCCAUGCAUGUCUAAGUAUAAGCAAUCUAUACUGUGAAACUGCGAAUGGCUCAUUAAAUCAGUCAUAAUUUAUUUGAUAGUACCUUACUACAUGGAUAACUGUGGUAAUUCUAGAGCUAAUACAUGCUAAAAACCCCGACUUCGGAAGGGGUGUAUUUAUUAGAUAAAAAACCAAUGC
Molecule: ribosomal RNA, 192 nt
Filed under: endophyte RBa1/RBb1
Lineage: Eukaryota; Fungi; Ascomycota
Description: partial small subunit ribosomal RNA
Rfam family: Eukaryotic small subunit ribosomal RNA
Source: RNAcentral